This is a long non-coding RNA of Ctenocephalides felis (cat flea), 804 nucleotides long. RefSeq lists it as uncharacterized. The transcript has 7 exons. NCBI's taxonomy places the organism in Eukaryota, Metazoa, Arthropoda, Insecta, Siphonaptera, Pulicidae. The record is from RefSeq and is a predicted model, not a curated record.
AAUGCAGUGAUAGUGUCUUAUUGCCGGUUCUUGGUUUCUGAUUCCUGAUUUCUGGUUCCUGGUUCCUGGUCAGCUCUCUUCUGGAAAUCACGAGACAACAAAUUGGUAAUCGGGAUGUUCCAGAAGAAUCGGUGAUUUUAUACAAAGUCUAAUAAGACUUUUUAAAAUAGAAGUGAGUGUAGUAGAUAAUAAAAUUCGCGUAAAAUUAAUAAAACAAUAGUGCCUAUUAAAUAAAAUUGCAUAAUUUCGCGUAAAACAAAGUGUGUGUGAGGCGACGAUUUGACUUUGUGCAAUUUUGCGAAGAAAUGCUGACAUCCAUGCAGCCUGAGGGAAAGAACAGCCUGGAAUCGAAUGAAUUACGCCGAUACUAUCACUAUGCAGAAAAUUCGACCAUGGCAAAUUUACAAAUGCAACUUUUGGCUCAACAAUAUGGAGCUUUUAACAGGUACCUACUACAUUGUUGCAAGAUAAUAUUGAGCUUUAAAUAAGAAAAGAAAAUAAUGAUUGUUCUAAAAUAGAAUGCAACGAGAAAUGAUGUCUAGACCACAAAAAUUGUAAUAUUUUAUGAAUACAUUAUCAGGACAAUUUACAUCAAGAUGCAAAAUGAAUGUGUUGUACAAAAUCAAAUUAAAAAAUUGCAAAGUGGAAGAAGAAGUCCAUAACAUCAGUGAAACUUUAAUUAGUUAAGCCAGAUAAUAUUAUGAUGCCAAAAAGGAGUGUUUUUAAUAAACAAUAUUUUUGAUUAUUAGGAUUUUAAGAAAAAAUGGAUAACGACUAUGCACUCUACAGAAUGGACAAAAAAUA